Molecule: unclassified non-coding RNA, 567 nt
Filed under: Aspergillus latus
Lineage: Eukaryota; Fungi; Ascomycota; Eurotiomycetes; Eurotiales; Aspergillaceae
Also listed under: 1 other name
Description: sequence contains 18S rRNA gene, ITS1, 5.8S rRNA gene, ITS2, 28S rRNA gene
Rfam family: 5.8S ribosomal RNA (bases 198-351)
Source: RNAcentral
UCGUAACAAGGUUUCCGUAGGUGAACCUGCGGAAGGAUCAUUACCGAGUGCGGGCUGCCUCCGGGCGCCCAACCUCCCACCCGUGACUACCUAACACUGUUGCUUCGGCGGGGAGCCCCCUAGGGGCGAGCCGCCGGGGACCACUGAACUUCAUGCCUGAGAGUGAUGCAGUCUGAGCCUGAAUACAAAUCAGUCAAAACUUUCAACAAUGGAUCUCUUGGUUCCGGCAUCGAUGAAGAACGCAGCGAACUGCGAUAAGUAAUGUGAAUUGCAGAAUUCAGUGAAUCAUCGAGUCUUUGAACGCACAUUGCGCCCCCUGGCAUUCCGGGGGGCAUGCCUGUCCGAGCGUCAUUGCUGCCCUCAAGCCCGGCUUGUGUGUUGGGUCGUCGUCCCCCCCGGGGGACGGGCCCGAAAGGCAGCGGCGGCACCGUGUCCGGUCCUCGAGCGUAUGGGGCUUUGUCACCCGCUCGAUUAGGGCCGGCCGGGCGCCAGCCGGCGUCUCCAACCUUAUUUUUCUCAGGUUGACCUCGGAUCAGGUAGGGAUACCCGCUGAACCUAAGCAUAUCA